CCUACGGGAGGCAGCAGUGAGGAAUAUUGGUCAAUGGACGCAAGUCUGAACCAGUCAUGCCGCGUGCAGGAAGACGGCUCUAUGAGUUGUAAACUGCUUUUGUACGAGGGUAAACGCAGAUACGCGUAUCUGUCUGAAAGUAUCGUACGAAUAAGGAUAGGCUAACUCCGUGCCCGCAGCCGCGGUAAUACGGAGGAUUCAAGCGUUAUCCGGAUUUAGUGGGUUUAAAGGGUGCGUAGGCGGUCGGAUAAGUUAGAGGUGAAAACCCGAGGCUCAACUUCGUAAUUGCCUCUGAUACUGUUCGGCUAGAGAGUAGUGGCGGUAGGCGGAAUGUAUGGUGUAGCGGUGAAAUGCUUAGAGAUCAGACAGAACACCGAUUGCGAAGGCAGCUUACCAAGCUACUUCUGACGUUGAGGCACGAAAGCGUGGGGAGCAAACAGGAUUAGAUACCCUAGUAGUC
This 460-nucleotide ribosomal RNA is filed under the name uncultured bacterium. RNAcentral describes it as "partial 16S ribosomal RNA". It matches the Rfam family "Bacterial small subunit ribosomal RNA", at positions 338 to 795 of the family's 1533-position model. The record is from RNAcentral.